This 253-nucleotide ribosomal RNA is filed under the name uncultured bacterium. RNAcentral describes it as "partial 16S ribosomal RNA". It matches the Rfam family "Bacterial small subunit ribosomal RNA", at positions 524 to 776 of the family's 1533-position model. The record is from RNAcentral.
UACGUAGGGGGCAAGCGUUGUCCGGAAUCAUUGGGCGUAAAGAGCGUGUAGGCGGCCCGAUAAGUCCGCUGUGAAAGUCCAGGGCUCAACCCUGGAAUGCCGGUGGAUACUGUCGGGCUCGAAUCCGGAAGAGGUGAGUGGAAUUCCUGGUGUAGCGGUGAAAUGCGCAGAUAUCAGGAGGAACACCAAUGGCGAAGGCAGCACUCUGGGACGUGACUGACGCUGAGACGCGAAAGCGUGGGGAGCAAACAGG